CCCCAACAAAGAUGGCAGACCUUGACCAAGGAUUUUCACCAGGAAACGCGACAGUAGCGACUGCACGUUCGGGGUUAACUCGGGACCAGUUGUUCUUUAUUCUGGCCUAGGCCUAAUGACAGCGUCACUGACUAGUCCAGUUUCAUUGUCCAUCCCAACUUGCCUCUAGGGCAGCUGAGUGUCAACCACAUUGCGGUGGGUCAGGAGUCACGUACAAGCCAGAACAGAAAGUGGUGGCUGUGAGGGGCCUGGACAGAUAUCAGACAGCUGUGAGGUCCCUUUAAAUUCCCAUUUUUUUGGUUAAUGGGUGUGGCCUAAUGGACUGGUCUUUGAUGCCUGAUCGCUGCUGCAAAAUAAAAGUGUCCUGAGGCUGAAGUCAUGUAUCGUCCUGGCCUUCCUUUUUGCUUCAGUAGUGGAUACCACCUCUGCUGGGUUGGUCUCAAACUAGACUGAAAACAAGAACGUUGGAAAUCACAGUGGGUCAGGCAGCAUCCACGGAAAGACAGCAAGCUUAAUGUUUUGAGUCGAGAUGAUUCUUCAUCCAAGCUGACAUUAGGUGUGGAGGGGACAGCAUUUAUGCCUAGAAAGGUGAAACUUCAGUUGAAACCUUCAAUUGCUGAGAAAGAAAGCACAGCUGUGAAAACGAGUUUUGGCAAACGCCAUGUCGAACACCAGCAAUGAAAUAGAAAGCAUCUAAGAUGUACACGAUGAAAGAGACAAUCAGAAUUUCUAUAAGAAGUAAGAACACAACUUUUUCAGGUUGGGUUCUCAAACCAGCUUCGGUCUCAAACUAGUCUUUGCUUUGGCUUCUGCCUUUACCAAAUGUUGUUGUUCCUACAGAUAAUUGAACUCAGCAACUUCGAAACAUAAUCACUAUCAAUAAUCUUUCAUGAAGUUUGUAUUGGUGUUAUUGUAAAUAUUUUGCCAUUGUGCUUCAUGUCCUUUGACAGUUUAGUUUCAUAAUGGAGAACUGUGUACUCAUUGUGACGAACUGUCGAUGUCAGUAAGAAUUGUCAACCCAAAUCAAUCAACACUUUCUAAUAGGUGAUGCUCAUCAGUGGAAAUUUUUAGACACUGAAUUGUAGAUUUUUCACCAAAGAUUCAUUAGUUUUAUUGUAAACAAAUUCCUGUUGAGAGUUCUUGAUUUAGGUGAAAGAUCACAGAUAGAGGUAUCAAUGAAGAAUGCUGUUGGUCCAAAA
Molecule: long non-coding RNA, 1199 nt
Organism: Stegostoma tigrinum
Lineage: Eukaryota; Metazoa; Chordata; Chondrichthyes; Orectolobiformes; Stegostomatidae
Exons: 4
Source: RefSeq, a predicted model, not a curated record